CCCCUCUGUUGAUAGAGUGGCUUUGUGUGUUAGGUGUCCUGUAGGGCCCAGUGGCUCAGCCUCCCCAGUUACCUGAGGUGGACACUCUUGGUGCACCCCCUUGUGGGCUUUG
Myotis davidii is the source of this 112-nucleotide long non-coding RNA. RefSeq lists it as uncharacterized. The transcript is spliced from 3 exons. Lineage: Eukaryota; Metazoa; Chordata; Mammalia; Chiroptera; Vespertilionidae. The record is from RefSeq and is a predicted model, not a curated record.